Molecule: long non-coding RNA, 796 nt
Organism: Brassica oleracea var. oleracea
Lineage: Eukaryota; Viridiplantae; Streptophyta; Magnoliopsida; Brassicales; Brassicaceae
Exons: 3
Source: RefSeq, a predicted model, not a curated record
GUCAGUACCACUUUUUUCUGUUUCCAUUCGUUGACGAACGCCAUUUGGAGAGAUCAUUGGAAGAAACCGAUUAGCUGAAAUCGAUUGUGAGGCGGAGUUGGCGAAGGAAGAAAUCUUAAAGCUUCAUCUUUGGGUUCGUGUUACUGGCAGAAAUUGAUAAUCGACGUUAGGUUUACGGAGAACUGUUCAAAUUCGCGGCAAAAUUUGCAAGGCGGAGUGAUCUCCUACCAAACCCAAAUCCAGAUUUACAGGCUGCAACUACUAGGAGCCACGAUGAAGGCAACUGGCAUUGUAGAUUUUUCCUUUCCUUCCAUAUGAUAAGGUGCCGUUCUAUACUAUUAUUUAUAUGGUGUAGUCCUUUUUUUUUGCAGCUUUGCUCUACUGCCUUCAUUGUAUCACACGUUCAUGUACAUGGCCGCAUUAUGAUGUAUAUGUACUUUUCGUGUUACAACUUCGUGCUAUGUAUAUUCAUGAAGAGAACUAAAGCUUAAGUUACAUAGUACCCAUUUGCGAAAGACCAUCGUUGUUGCCGCACCAUCAACCCCCCUGCUCCUUUACGAUUCUAUUUUUGUGCAAACCCCAUACCAAUACCGACGAUGUUAUGCUGUUGCUGGUGUUGUCACUUGACCUCGUUAUGAAAGACUGCCUUACAUUACUCUUCAUAAUGUGUAAAACAUGCGUCUUCCUAUAAUUGCAUCCAACUGUGCUUUGUAACUUCAGAGAUUGCUUGUAUGGUUAAUCGCACUUACAACAAAAGAUUAUACCAUUAUAAAAAUAGUAUAGUGGGGCAAUGAUA